AUAGUGGUGGUUCAGUGGUAGAAUUCUUGCCUUCCAAGCGACAGACCCAGGUUAGAUUCCCAGCCAAUGCA
Molecule: transfer RNA, 71 nt
Filed under: Loxodonta africana (African savanna elephant)
Lineage: Eukaryota; Metazoa; Chordata; Mammalia; Proboscidea; Elephantidae
Rfam family: tRNA
About the family: Transfer RNA (tRNA) molecules are approximately 80 nucleotides in length. Their secondary structure includes four short double-helical elements and three loops (D, anti-codon, and T loops).
Source: Rfam by way of RNAcentral